This 850-nucleotide ribosomal RNA is filed under the name uncultured bacterium. Its description in RNAcentral is "SSU rRNA". It matches the Rfam family "Bacterial small subunit ribosomal RNA", at positions 524 to 1381 of the family's 1533-position model. The record is from RNAcentral.
UACGUAGGAGGCAAACGUCAUUCGGAUUUACUGGGCGUAAAGGGAGCGUGGGCGGUUCCUUAAGUCAGAUGUUAAAUCUUCCGACUCAAUCGGAAGAAGUCAUUUGAUACUGAGGGACUUGAGAGCAGCAGAGGGAAAUGGAAUCUCCAGUGUAGCGGUGAAAUGCGUAGAUAUUGGGGAGAACACCAGUGGCGAAGGCGGUUUCCCAGGUUGUUUCUGACGCUGAGGCUCGAAAGCGUGGGGAGCGAAGCGGAUUAGAUACCCGCGUAGUCCACGCCCUAAACGGUGGACACUAGAUAUAGGAGGUAUCGACCCUUUCUGUGUCGAAGCUAACGCUUUAAGUGUCCCGCCUGGGGAGUACGGCCGCAAGGCUGAAACUCAAAGGAAUUGACGGGGGUCCGCACAAGCAGCGGAGCGUGUGGUUUAAUUCGAUGCUACACGAAGAACCUUACCAGGACUUGACAUGACAGAAGUAGGAAGCCGAAAGGAAGACGACCUGUAUCCAGUCAGGAGCUGUCACAGGUGCUGCAUGGCUGUCGUCGGCUCGUGCCGUGAGGUGUUGGGUUAAGUCCCGCAACGAGCGCAACCCUUGUCCUAUGUUAAAUUCUCAUAGGAGACUGCCUUGUACAGCAAGGAGGAAGGAAAGGAUGACGUCAAGUCAGCACGGCCUUUAUGUCCUGGGCUACACACACGCUACAAUGGAUGAUACAAAGGGUUGCCAAGGAGCGAUCCGGAGCUAAUCCCUUAAAAUCAUCCUCAGUUCGGAUUGCAGGCUGAAAUCGCCUGCAUGAAGUCGGAGUUGCUAGUAACUGCAGGUCAGCUAUACUGCGGUGAAUACGUUCUCGGACCU